Molecule: ribosomal RNA, 893 nt
Filed under: Escherichia coli
Lineage: Bacteria; Pseudomonadati; Pseudomonadota; Gammaproteobacteria; Enterobacterales; Enterobacteriaceae
Description: partial 23S ribosomal RNA
Rfam family: Bacterial large subunit ribosomal RNA
Source: RNAcentral
GUACACAAAAAUGCACAUGCUGUGAGCUCGAUGAGUAGGGCGGGACACGUGGUAUCCUGUCUGAAUAUGGGGGGACCAUCCUCCAAGGCUAAAUACUCCUGACUGACCGAUAGUGAACCAGUACCGUGAGGGAAAGGCGAAAAGAACCCCGGCGAGGGGAGUGAAAAAGAACCUGAAACCGUGUACGUACAAGCAGUGGGAGCACAGAGCAAUCUGUGUGACUGCGUACCUUUUGUAUAAUGGGUCAGCGACUUAUAUUCUGUAGCAAGGUUAACCGAAUAGGGGAGCCGAAGGGAAACCGAGUCUUAACUGGGCGUUAAGUUGCAGGGUAUAGACCCGAAACCCGGUGAUCUAGCCAUGGGCAGGUUGAAGGUUGGGUAACACUAACUGGAGGACCGAACCGACUAAUGUUGAAAAAUUAGCGGAUGACUUGUGGCUGGGGGUGAAAGGCCAAUCAAACCGGGAGAUAGCUGGUUCUCCCCGAAAGCUAUUUAGGUAGCGCCUCGUGAAUUCAUCUCCGGGGGUAGAGCACUGUUUCGGCAAGGGGGUCAUCCCGACUUACCAACCCGAUGCAAACUGCGAAUACCGGAGAAUGUUAUCACGGGAGACACACGGCGGGUGCUAACGUCCGUCGUGAAGAGGGAAACAACCCAGACCGCCAGCUAAGGUCCCAAAGUCAUGGUUAAGUGGGAAACGAUGUGGGAAGGCCCAGACAGCCAGGAUGUUGGCUUAGAAGCAGCCAUCAUUUAAAGAAAGCGUAAUAGCUCACUGGUCGAGUCGGCCUGCGCGGAAGAUGUAACGGGGCUAAACCAUGCACCGAAGCUGCGGCAGCGACGCUGAUGCGUUGUUGGGUAGGGGAGCGUUCUGUAAGCCUGUGAAGGUGUGCUGUGAGG